RNAcentral lists this ribosomal RNA (460 nucleotides) under uncultured bacterium. RNAcentral describes it as "partial 16S ribosomal RNA". It matches the Rfam family "Bacterial small subunit ribosomal RNA", at positions 338 to 795 of the family's 1533-position model. The record is from RNAcentral.
CCUACGGGUGGCAGCAGUGAGGAAUAUUGGUCAAUGGACGCUAGUCUGAACCAGCCAUGCCGCGUGCAGGAUGACGGCCCUAUGAGUUGUAAACUGCUUUUGUACGGGGGUAAACUCCGAUAUGUGUACUGCGUUGAAUGUAUCUUAUGAAUAAGGAUCGGCUAACUCCGUGCCAGCAGCCGCGGUAAUACGGAGGAUCCGAGCGUUAUCCGGAUUUAUUGGGUUUAAAGGGUGCGUAGGCGGGUUGAUAAGUUAGUGGUGAAAGGUUGGGGCUCAACCCCGAAAUUGCCUCUAAUACUGUUGGACUAGAGAACAGUAGCGGUAGGCGGAAUGCAUGGUGUAGCGGUGAAAUGCUUAGAUAUCAUACAGAACACCGAUUGCGAAGGCAGCUUACCAAACUGUAACUGACGCUGAGGCACGAAAGCGUGGGUAGCAAACAGGGUUAGAUACCCGGGUAGUC